Molecule: transfer RNA, 71 nt
Filed under: Marmota monax (woodchuck)
Lineage: Eukaryota; Metazoa; Chordata; Mammalia; Rodentia; Sciuridae
Description: tRNA.Ala
Source: RNAcentral
GCUGGAGUAGCUCAGUGGUAGAGCACUUGCUUAGCUUGUAUGAGGCACUGUGUUCAAAUCUCAGAACCACA